RNAcentral lists this ribosomal RNA (468 nucleotides) under uncultured bacterium. RNAcentral's name for it is "partial 16S ribosomal RNA". It matches the Rfam family "Bacterial small subunit ribosomal RNA", at positions 28 to 507 of the family's 1533-position model. The record is from RNAcentral.
GACGAACGCUGGCGGCGUGCUUAACACAUGCAAGUCGAACGGAAAGGCCCUGCUUUUGUGGGGUGCUCGAGUGGCGAACGGGUGAGUAACACGCGAGUAACCUGCCCUUGACUUUGUGAUAACUUCAGGAAACUGGGGCUAAUACCGGAUAGGAGCUCCUGCUGCAUGGUGGGGGUUGGAAAGUGUCGGCGGUUGGGGAUGGACUCGAGGGUUAUCAGCUUGUUGGUGUGGUAGUGGCUUACCAAGCCUAUGACGGGUAGCCGGCCUGAGAGGGUGAACGGCCACCAUGGGACUGCGAGACGGACCAGAAUCGAACGGGAGGCAGCAGGGGGGAGUAUUGCAGAACGGGCGGAAGUCUGAGGCAGAAACGUCGCGUGCGGGAAGCCGGCUUUCGGGUGGUAAACAGAUUUCGCAGGUGACGAAGAGUGAGUGACGGUAAUGGGUAAAGAAGCACCGGCUAACUACGUG